Long non-coding RNA from Oryzias melastigma (Indian medaka), 653 nucleotides. RefSeq lists it as uncharacterized. The transcript has 5 exons. The record is from RefSeq and is a predicted model, not a curated record. Lineage: Eukaryota; Metazoa; Chordata; Actinopteri; Beloniformes; Adrianichthyidae.
GUUUCCUGAAUACUAACCAUCUUCAGCACCUUUCUCACUGCAACUCCCAUCAGCCAUCGCUUCAGUUCUCACAGCUGAUCUUCAUCAUCCUCAUCAGAACCAUCAGCAUUUAUGCCCACUCCAGCGUGAAGUCUUGAUUGUGUUUCCCUUAAGACUUGUAUUUCUACCUCAAGACACGUCAUGUUUGUCCAUCUUCCAUCCACAUCUGUAAAAGCAGUUUUGAAUAAAGUUUUAGGAAAAGACAUCUUCACAACCCAAGUGACUUUUGCGUCAUCAGUAUCUUGGUUAAUCAUAAUAAAAUCAGCUUCUUCUAGAUCCCAAAGUAAACGUGCUGGUAGGCGUGUGCAAACUGCAGACGGAUCCCAUCUCUGGAAACUGGAGGUACAAUCGUCCAUUCAUCCAGAUGACUGUUUUUUACCGACCAGAUCUUUUCAGCUCCUCAUCUUCACGAUGAAGUCACAAGUGUUCCUGCCUUAAAACACAAAUAACUUCAAAGAACAUUGCCAUGGAAACUGUUCAGUGCACAGAUGUCUAUAAGUAAAGGUAAACAGGCAGAGCCAGGCUUCUCCUGUGAUAUUAUCAUAGAUUAUCCACGGUGUUAUGAGCAGGAUGUGGUUUUAUUAAAGCACCUAAUGCUGAACAGAGAUAUGCUG